AUGGCCACAUCAGGUUGGAACACCGGUUCCCGUAUAGUCACCACAGUUAAGCAACGUCGAGCCUGGUCAGUGCCUAGAUGGGUGUCCGCUUGGGAAUAUCAGUUGCUA
Non-coding RNA from Acanthosepion pharaonis, 108 nucleotides. The record is from the annotation of a GenBank genome assembly. NCBI's taxonomy places the organism in Eukaryota, Metazoa, Mollusca, Cephalopoda, Sepiida, Sepiidae.